CAUGCNAGUCGGACGGCAGCAUAAAAGAGCUUGCUCUUUUGAUGGCGAGUGGCGAACGGGUGAGUAAUGCAUCGGAACGUACCGAGUAGUGGGGGAUAACUGUCCGAAAGGAUGGCUAAUACCGCAUAUUCUCUGAGGAGGAAAGCAGGGGACCUUAGGGCCUUGCGCUAUUUGAGCGGCCGAUGUCUGAUUAGCUAGUUGGUGGGGUAAGAGCCCACCAAGGCGACGAUCARUAKCGGGUCUGAGAGGAUGAUCCGCCACACUGGGACUGAGACACGGCCCAGACUCCUACGGGAGGCAGCAGUGGGGAAUUUUGGACAAUGGGCGCAAGCCUGAUCCAGCCAUGCCGCGUGURUGAAGAAGGCCUUCSGGUUGUAAAGUACUUUUGUCAGGGAAGAAAAGCCUGAGGAUAACACCCUCAGGUCAUGACGGUACCUGAAKAAUAAGCACCGGCUAACUACGUGCCAKCAGCCGCGGUAAUACGUAGGGUGCGAGCGUUAAUCGGAAUUACUGGUCGUAAAGCGAGCGCACACGGUUAUUUAAGCUAGAUGUGAAAGCCCCGGGCUCAACCUGGGAACUGCGUUUUGAACUGGGUAA
This 597-nucleotide ribosomal RNA is filed under the name Uruburuella sp. WTPin_25. Its description in RNAcentral is "bacterial SSU rRNA". It matches the Rfam family "Bacterial small subunit ribosomal RNA", at positions 54 to 640 of the family's 1533-position model. Lineage: Bacteria; Pseudomonadati; Pseudomonadota; Betaproteobacteria; Neisseriales; Neisseriaceae. The record is from RNAcentral.